RNAcentral lists this ribosomal RNA (671 nucleotides) under Enterobacter roggenkampii. RNAcentral's name for it is "partial 16S ribosomal RNA". It matches the Rfam family "Bacterial small subunit ribosomal RNA", at positions 872 to 1533 of the family's 1533-position model. RNAcentral also lists the same sequence under 1 other name. Lineage: Bacteria; Pseudomonadati; Pseudomonadota; Gammaproteobacteria; Enterobacterales; Enterobacteriaceae. The record is from RNAcentral.
CCUGGGGAGUACGGCCGCAAGGUUAAAACUCAAAUGAAUUGACGGGGGCCCGCACAAGCGGUGGAGCAUGUGGUUUAAUUCGAUGCAACGCGAAGAACCUUACCUACUCUUGACAUCCAGAGAACUUAGCAGAGAUGCUUUGGUGCCUUCGGGAACUCUGAGACAGGUGCUGCAUGGCUGUCGUCAGCUCGUGUUGUGAAAUGUUGGGUUAAGUCCCGCAACGAGCGCAACCCUUAUCCUUUGUUGCCAGCGGUUCGGCCGGGAACUCAAAGGAGACUGCCAGUGAUAAACUGGAGGAAGGUGGGGAUGACGUCAAGUCAUCAUGGCCCUUACGAGUAGGGCUACACACGUGCUACAAUGGCGCAUACAAAGAGAAGCGACCUCGCGAGAGCAAGCGGACCUCAUAAAGUGCGUCGUAGUCCGGAUUGGAGUCUGCAACUCGACUCCAUGAAGUCGGAAUCGCUAGUAAUCGUAGAUCAGAAUGCUACGGUGAAUACGUUCCCGGGCCUUGUACACACCGCCCGUCACACCAUGGGAGUGGGUUGCAAAAGAAGUAGGUAGCUUAACCUUCGGGAGGGCGCUUACCACUUUGUGAUUCAUGACUGGGGUGAAGUCGUAACAAGGUAACCGUAGGGGAACCUGCGGUUGGAUCACCUCCUUACCUUAAAGAA